This 465-nucleotide ribosomal RNA is filed under the name uncultured bacterium. Its description in RNAcentral is "partial 16S ribosomal RNA". It matches the Rfam family "Bacterial small subunit ribosomal RNA", at positions 28 to 507 of the family's 1533-position model. The record is from RNAcentral.
GACGAACGCUGGCGGCGUGCUUAACACAUGCAAGUCGAACGGAAAGGCCCCCUUGUGGGGUACUCGAGUGGCGAACGGGUGAGUAACACGUGAGUAACCUACCCUUGACUUUGGGAUAACUUCAGGAAACUGGGGCUAAUACCGGAUCGGAGCUCCUGCUGCAUGGUGGGGGUUGGAAAGUUUCGGCGGUUGGGGAUGGGCUCGCGGCUUAUCAGCUUGUUGGUGGGGUAGUGGCUCACCAAGGCUUUGACGGGUAGCCGGCCUGAGAGGGUGACCGGCCACAUUGGGACUGAGAUACGGCCCAGACUCCUACGGGAGGCAGCAGUGGGGAAUAUUGCACAAUGGGCGGAAGCCUGAUGCAGCAACGCCGCGUGCGGGAUGACGGCCUUCGGGUUGUAAACCGCUUUCGCCUGUGACGAAGCGUGAGUGACGGUAAUGGGUAAAGAAGCACCGGCUAACUACGUG